AUGUUAUCAAGAAAGGUGGAGAGAUUAGACUCUGAGAAACCUUGGCAACCAUCGCAUACGAGCGAAACGGUGCUACAUUCUACUCCGAUGGGGAUAGAUAACAC
Molecule: non-coding RNA, 104 nt
Filed under: Bacteroidota bacterium
Lineage: Bacteria; Pseudomonadati; Bacteroidota
Description: Bacteroidetes bacterium SAM-I sequence
Rfam family: SAM riboswitch aptamer (S box leader)
About the family: The SAM riboswitch is found upstream of a number of genes which code for proteins involved in methionine or cysteine biosynthesis in Gram-positive bacteria. The SAM riboswitch acts at the level of transcription termination control. The predicted structure consists of a complex stem-loop region followed by a single stem loop terminator region.
Source: RNAcentral